UUUUAGUUUGUAAGAGAAGGAAAUGAUGAGCGGAGUUCAAGCCCGGAGGAGAUACUCCUGUGGAGCUAGAACACAAAGCCGGCUGCUCUCGGCGUCCCACAUCACAGGCCCGUUGCGGCGAACCGCACGCUACACCGCCCAGCCAACCACAGCGGCGUCUGAUCAUAUGGAGAGGGAGGAGCCUAGAGGAACCGACUGAGACACAGGAUAUCUCUGUCGACCUGGAGAGCAGAAGCGAGGGGGGGGGGUCGAAGAUUACAGUGCAGGGGAGAGACAACAAAGCAACAGAAACACUGCUGGCAGCGCCUCACUCACCUGGGUAUCCAUUCCUGUCCAGAUCCUUAGCACCUCGGAGGGCAAAUCCAAAGCUGGCAGGAAUCGUACCGGCAGCCCACUGGCCGGUGAUCACCUGAGAUGGUUUUUCCCUGAGUCCUUCUGAGUGCCCGUUGAAGAUGUAGACCAGUCCCUGCUGAUCCUCCCCUCCAAACGGACAGCUGAUAGCCACGUCUGCCAAAGAGCAACGAUCAACAACAUCACAAUCUUAGACUGCAGCCACCAAGAGGUCAGAUAAUACAACAAGGCAUUUCCAGGUGCUUAAAGUUGCAGUCCCCCGACGACAAUCCCCCAUUCUUACCAUUGAACCCGUCCUGGUUCAGAUCUCCCAGUGGUGCAAUGGUGCUGCCAAAUCUCCCAAACACCUGGGUGCCUGUCAGGUGAGGUGGGCGGAGCUCCAGGUUCAGGGGGCCUCGCUGUAGGUAAACGUAGACGCGGCCCAUCUCUUCCAGGCGGCCAUCGGAGCCUCGGACCAUGAACAUGGGAGCUCCCACCAGCAGGUCCACGGGAUGAGAUUGCAGAUGAAGGAUGAGGAUUGGCUGAAGUUCAAGGUGUGGCUGACAGAAAGACUCGGGAAAACUUGGUUAUACACGGCAGUCGAAAAUUAUUUCCCCCCUCUGAACUCCUGAACUGUUUGGUUUUUCAGAAAACCCCCGAUGACACGAUGUCUGUGCUUCUGCCACAUGAAGGUGCGUCGACGCUUCAAUUUGCGUUUGUGAAUAUUCCCAGAAGUCUGAAGCUGUCGGAGGUCGACCUCAUCAGUGCCCGCGUUCUUUAAUCUGAGGUAGAAGUGCAGAUUCUUAUGUCAGAGAAGAAGUGGGUUCAACUUCUGACGUUUCUGUGCAAAGCUAACUGAAGCUCACGUCAGAUUUAUAUUAUUCAGAGUCUGUUAAACUUAAAUGUAGAUUCAGGCUCCUGCUCCUGAACGCACCACGAAGAUAUCUGAUUGUUGAGUCUCACUCCCAGGACGUCAAAUAACCACAUUUUGCAGAAACGAGACACUAACACACCUCGUCUCCCUCUCUGUCCGUCCUCUUACGUCUUUUCAUGAUGAGAACCGAUAGCUUAAAAAUAAAAAUAAUCUUUAAUUUCCCUCAAA
Long non-coding RNA from Acanthopagrus latus (yellowfin seabream), 1432 nucleotides. RefSeq lists it as uncharacterized. NCBI's taxonomy places the organism in Eukaryota, Metazoa, Chordata, Actinopteri, Spariformes, Sparidae. The record is from RefSeq and is a predicted model, not a curated record. The transcript has 4 exons.